RNAcentral lists this ribosomal RNA (259 nucleotides) under uncultured bacterium. RNAcentral describes it as "partial 16S ribosomal RNA". It matches the Rfam family "Bacterial small subunit ribosomal RNA", at positions 524 to 783 of the family's 1533-position model. The record is from RNAcentral.
UACGUAGGGGGCAAGCGUUAUCCGGAUUUACUGGGUGUAAAGGGAGCGUAGACGGCAGGGCAAGUCUGGAGUGAAAGGCAGGGGCCCAACCCUGGACUGCUCUGGAAACUGUCCGGCUGGAGUGCAGGAGAGGUAAGUGGAAUUCCUAGUGUAGCGGUGAAAUGCGUAGAUAUUAGGAGGAACACCAGUGGCGAAGGCGGCUUACUGGACUGUAACUGACGUUGAGGCUCGAAAGCGUGGGGAGCAAACAGGAUUAGAA